GAAAUGCGAUAAGUAAUGUGAAUUGCAGAAUUCAGUGAAUCAUCGCAUCUUUGAACGCACAUUGCGCCCCCUGGUAUUCCGGGGGGCAUGCCUGUUCGAGCGUCAUUUCACCACUCAAGCCUCGCUUGGUAUUGGGCGACGCGGUCCGCCGCGCGCCUCAAAUCGACCGGCUGGGUCUUCCGUCCCCUCAGCGUUGUGGAAACUAUUCGCUAAAGGGUGCCGCGGGAGGUCACGCCGCAAAACAACCCCAUUUCUAAGGUUGACCUCGGAUCAGGUAGGGAUACCCGCUGAACUUAAGC
RNAcentral lists this unclassified non-coding RNA (299 nucleotides) under plant metagenome. Its description in RNAcentral is "partial contains 5.8S ribosomal RNA, internal transcribed spacer 2, and large subunit ribosomal RNA". The stretch from base 1 to 105 matches the Rfam family "5.8S ribosomal RNA", at positions 50 to 154 of the family's 154-position model. The record is from RNAcentral.